GACGUAGGGCGCGAGCGUUGUCCGGAUUUAUUGGGCGUAAAGAGCUCGUAGGCGGCUUGUCGCGUCGGCUGUGAAAUCCCGUGGCUCAACUGCGGGUCUGCAGCCGAUACGGGCAGGCUAGAGUUCGGUAGGGGAGACUGGAAUUCCUGGUGUAGCGGUGAAAUGCGCAGAUAUCAGGAGGAACACCGAUGGCGAAGGCAGGUCUCUGGGCAUUAACUGACGCUGAGGAGCGAAAGCAUGGGGAGCGAACAGG
This 253-nucleotide ribosomal RNA is filed under the name uncultured bacterium. RNAcentral describes it as "partial 16S ribosomal RNA". It matches the Rfam family "Bacterial small subunit ribosomal RNA", at positions 524 to 776 of the family's 1533-position model. The record is from RNAcentral.